GACGAACGCUGGCGGCGUGCUUAACACAUGCCAGUCGAACGGAAAGGCCCUGCUUUUGUGGGCUGCUCGAGUGGCGAACGGGUGAGUAACACGUGAGUAACCUGCCCUUGACUUUGGGAUAACUUCAUGAAACUGGGGCUAAUACCGGAUAGGAGCUCUUGCUGCAUGGUGGGCGUUGGAAAGUUUCGGCGGUUGGGGAUGGACACGCGGCUUAUCAGCUUGUUGGUGGGGUAGUGGCUUACCAAGGCCUUGACGGGUAGCCGGCCUGGGAGGGUGACCGGCCACACUAGGACGGAGAUACGGCCCAGACUCCAACGGGAGGCAGCAGUGGAGAGUAUUGCACAGUAGGAGGGAGCCUGGUGCGGCAACGCCGCGUGCGGGAUGACGGCCUGCGGGUUGUAAACCGCUUUCGCCUGUGACGAAGCGUGAAUGACGGUAAUGGGUGAAGAAGCACCGGCUAACUACGUG
RNAcentral lists this ribosomal RNA (468 nucleotides) under uncultured bacterium. Its description in RNAcentral is "partial 16S ribosomal RNA". It matches the Rfam family "Bacterial small subunit ribosomal RNA", at positions 28 to 507 of the family's 1533-position model. The record is from RNAcentral.